Phlebotomus papatasi is the source of this 46-nucleotide non-coding RNA. The record is from Rfam. Lineage: Eukaryota; Metazoa; Arthropoda; Insecta; Diptera; Psychodidae.
AAAACGGCCCUUUUCAGGGCCACAAUUCUAUAUUAUAAAGAGUUUU